CUACGGGUGAAAGUCCCGUCCGGGUAAGCACUGGAGCGCCCGGUAGCAGGCCCCGGUUCGUCGUGGAGACAUGGCGGGCUGAGCGGGGUGUCGAGAGCCUCUUUGGAGGGAGCAAGCACGCGGGCCGUAGCGUUG
This 135-nucleotide non-coding RNA is filed under the name Nonomuraea coxensis DSM 45129. Lineage: Bacteria; Bacillati; Actinomycetota; Actinomycetes; Streptosporangiales; Streptosporangiaceae. The record is from RNAcentral.